CAAUGAAAUGCACAUUGUUGGCA
This 23-nucleotide non-coding RNA is filed under the name Arabidopsis thaliana (thale cress). The record is from RNAcentral. Lineage: Eukaryota; Viridiplantae; Streptophyta; Magnoliopsida; Brassicales; Brassicaceae.